RNAcentral lists this ribosomal RNA (488 nucleotides) under uncultured bacterium. RNAcentral's name for it is "partial 16S ribosomal RNA". It matches the Rfam family "Bacterial small subunit ribosomal RNA", at positions 30 to 507 of the family's 1533-position model. The record is from RNAcentral.
UGAACGCUGGCGGCAGGCCUAACACAUGCAAGUCGACCGGUAACAGGAAACAGCUUGCUGUUUCGCUGACGAGUGGCGGACGGGUGAGUAAUGUCUGGGAAACUGCCUGAUGGAGGGGGAUAACUACUGGAAACGGUAGCUAAUACCGCAUAACGUCGCAAGACCAAAGAGGGGGACCUUCGGGCCUCUUGCCCUCGGAUGUGCCCAGAUGGGAUUAGCUAGUAGGUGGGGUAACGGCUCACCUAGGCGACGAUCCCUAGCUGGUCUGAGAGGAUGACCAGCCACACUGGAACUGAGACACGGUCCAGACUCCUACGGGAGGCAGCAGUGGGGAAUAUUGCACAAUGGGCGCAAGCCUGAUGCAGCCAUGCCGCGUGUAUGAAGAAGGCCUUCGGGUUGUAAAGUACUUUCAGCGGGGAUGAAGGGAGUAAAGUUAAUACCUUUGCUCAUUGACGUUACCCGCAGAAGAAGCACCGGCUAACUCCGUG